UCGCCUGUUUUACAAAAACAUCGCCUCUUGACAAAACAUAAGAGGUCCAGCCUGCCCAGUGACAAAGUUCAACGGCCGCGGUACCCUAACCGUGCGAAGGUAGCAUAAUCACUUGUUCUUUAAAUGAGGACUCGUAUCAACGGCACUACGAGGGCUAUACUGUCUCCUUUUUCUAAUCAGUGAAACUGAUCUCCCCGUGAAGAAGCGGGGAUCAAAAUAUAAGACGAGAAGACCCCAUGGAGCUUUAAACUCACCACGCACCUCUGUGUCCUCAUACCCUUAAACACAAGAGAUCUACGUGCUAGUUUUAGGUUGGGGGGACCACGGAGUAUAACUUAACCUCCAUAACAAAUGGGCUAACACCCUUAUCCAUGAGACACAGCUCUAAGAAUUACUAAACUAAUGCUUAUGACCCGAUAUUCGAUCAAUGAACCAAGUUACCCUGGGGAUAACAGCGCAAUCUACUUCAAGAGCCCAUAUCGACAAGUAGGUUUACGACCUCGAUGUUGGAUCAGGGUAUCCCGGUGGUGCAACCGCUACCGAUGGUUCGUUUGUUCAACGAUUAAAACCCUACGUGAUCUGAGUUCAGACCGGAAUAUUCCUGGUUGCAUAAUCGACGUCGUAAACCUACUUGAGAUAUAUCCCGGGCCGAAAACCGCCUACUUCCCCCGGGUUCUUGGUCCA
This 684-nucleotide ribosomal RNA is filed under the name Mesobatrachia sp. SL1. RNAcentral describes it as "partial 16S ribosomal RNA". It matches the Rfam family "Bacterial large subunit ribosomal RNA", at positions 1796 to 2632 of the family's 2925-position model. Lineage: Eukaryota; Metazoa; Chordata; Amphibia; Anura. RNAcentral also lists the same sequence under 19 other names. The record is from RNAcentral.